This 464-nucleotide ribosomal RNA is filed under the name uncultured bacterium. Its description in RNAcentral is "partial 16S ribosomal RNA". It matches the Rfam family "Bacterial small subunit ribosomal RNA", at positions 339 to 795 of the family's 1533-position model. The record is from RNAcentral.
CUACGGGAUGCUCCAGUGAGGAAUAUUGCGCAAUGGGCGAAAGCCUGACGCAGCGACGCCGCGUGGAGGAUGAAGGUUUUUGGAUUGUAAACUCCUGUUAAGUGGGAAGAAAGACUCAUCAGUAAUAUGGAUGAGGAAUGACGGUACCAUUAGAGAAAGCACCGGCUAACUUCGUGCCAGCAGCCGCGGUAAUACGAGGGGUGCAAGCGUUAUUCGGAAUCAUUGGGCGUAAAGGGUACGUAGGCUGCAUAUUAAGUCAACUGUUAAAUCUUCCGGCCUAACUGGAAGCUUGCGGUAGAUACUGGUGUGCUAGAGGGUGAGAGAGAGAAGUGGAAUUCUCGGAGUAGCGGUAAAAUGCGUGGAUCUCGAGAGGAACACCGAUGGCGAAGGCAGCUUCUUGGCUCAUUCCUGACGCUCAGGUACGAAAGCGUGGGGAGCAAACAGGAUUAGAUACCCCAGUAGUC